Molecule: long non-coding RNA, 7047 nt
Organism: Neofelis nebulosa (Clouded leopard)
Lineage: Eukaryota; Metazoa; Chordata; Mammalia; Carnivora; Felidae
Exons: 7
Source: RefSeq, a predicted model, not a curated record
GCUGGCACAGAGACACAGAGCUGUCUGGUUCUUUUUCGUCGAUGUCACAGUGAGAGGAAAGAAUGGCUUCUUGUCUCGAGAGACACUGUAGCCUUCAGGUAUUUUGGGGUCUGAGUGAUUCUACCAUCUGCUGUGCCUAUAGAAGAAAGAGAGGCUCUAGAAACACAGCCCAGGAGGGUGCCUAAUGCUGCUGUCAUGGGUAGAAGGACUUAGAUCUGGAGCUUAGCACCUUUGGGACAGGAAUUUGCUCCCUGACCCCAGGACUCACCUGCUCCGAGGAGACAAAGAGCCACACAGCAGAUCACCUGGUGACCCAUGAUGGGAGAGGGGGCUCCCUGGAGUGCUAAGCACCUGUUGGAAGACAAAUGAGGAUAGAAACUUAGUUCUGGGGAUCCCCCUGGCUUAAAAUGCAGAAGUUGUCAGAAGGCUGGAAUGGAUAAUUGGAAAGGAUCCCAGAGGUGUUCUGGGUUCUGGGUGACGCCAGCAUUCAUGGGACCUCGGAGGAGAAGAGGUUACAUGAGACAGGGUCAUAAUGGCGGAGGAAGUGAGUGCUUGGCAAUGCAGCAACCUGAGGCGAGUGCGAAUAUCUUUUAAGUCUCCCGUGUUCGAGUGAAAACUCACAUGAAUUUUGCUUUUCGUGCCAUGAGGCAAUUAUUUGUUUUCAUUUAGAUGUCAAAAAAAUCGGAAAAUCUUUCAGAAAAUCUUUGGGCAACAUGAAGGUCCAGGGCCUAUUUGAGACACAGAGAGCCACAAAGCCCAGUGAUGCUGAUCCGUUAGCCCAGAGCUCACCUGCCCGCAGGAGCCAGAAAACUACCCAGCAGAGGAGUCUGGUGUGCAUGGCAGAGAAGGCAUGAAGAGGACCCACAGGCAUGGCCCAGGAAGGAUGCUCACUGUAUUAGCCCAGGGAGUUAGACUUCAAAGCCCCCUCGUCUGAGGCGGGUCUUCCUGUGAAGUCACCAUUUCCAGGGAGCCUGUUGUCUCUGGACCUAAUCUUGUACGUCACUUGAAUGAGACAUCUUUUUUUCUUUACUGUAAACACAUCCUGGCCUAGUAUGUGUUACUACGGGGACAGCGUUGCGCAGAGGUUUGUGGUUGCUGUUCCCUCACGUUAUUCCCCGUUGAAUCACUGCCCUGGAGAGACAGUCUUGUGGGGGAGGCAGAUCUGUGACAAAGGGAGGAGAAUAAAUCUCUAGCAGUCAACAUUCUGUUGUUCCACAAACAAGGAAGUCAUUCGUGUCUGUAGAGGGAAAGAGUCUUCAGAGGGGUCGUGUUUGAGAUAAAAUCAGUAGUAAUUUCUUAGAGUUUUGGCAUUUCCGAAGCCCAUGUCCUGAAGCAUGGCAUGCCCACUAUGAUAAUUUAAGAGCUAAUUUGUAGCCUUGCCCUCUCCCGCUUGCACAUGGAGCCACAACUAUCCACCUGCCUCUUUCUUUCUUCUGAAGCGCAAGACUGAGAAGUGGCCUUUUCAAAUGCCUCCCUAGAGCUCAGGGGAGAGGAGAAGAGCCACUGAGUUUGCACGCUGGACAGAACCGGUUCACCUGCACUAUUCCAAUGCCACCAGCAUGGCGAUUACAGCUGAGUCCCCCCGCUCUGCAGCAGGAUGGGUCUUAGGAUAGAAUAUGUCCCAUUGGGUCUUUCAACCGAAAGUCGUUCCUUGGGCAUUCCAACUCAGCUGCAGUGUUUUGGUAUCGGAAGGAAAUCAGAAAUUCCAUCUCUUGCUUCAGAGUCUGUGGGCACCAGUAAACAAGUAUAUGACCAGAAAUUGGAUCACAUCUCAGAUUCCCUUCUGUCCAUCUUUGUGAUCCCGUGGCUGGGGAUCUGGCUGACUGCCGGGUCUGUGUGUCCUGUGGGAGAAGACGGAAGCCAUAGAGAGUGGGCCUGGGAAAACAUCUUCUACACAAAUUCCCACACACUCCCAAGCUCACUUGCCCCCAGGUGUCCAAGGCAAGAUCACUGGCAGGACAAGCUUCCCCAGCAAUGGUUUCUGAUGGACAGCAGCAGAGACUAAUGGAAGUUUUGGGUUCCCUUAGCCCCACAAGGUAGAAUCUAGCCAUGAAAUCACAGUCCCUGGGAACACCCACAGUCUCAGGGCACCUUCCACAGAGGGGAUCAUUGGUCCAAAUGUAUGACCUCAUGUUUAUUUUGGUACAUGGAUGAUGUAAACAGGCUCCAAACCCACUUGAGCAUUCUUAGGAAAAGAGAAGUUCAAGGAAGGCACAAGAGGAAGAGGAAAAGGGGAGAAGAGAGUAAGAAUAGUAAGAACAAGAAGAAAAUGAUGGAGCACCGUGCUAGAGUUGCUAUUUUACGAAUCUUAUAAAGAUUGGCAGAAGUUCUCAAAACCCCACCAGGGGCUUGAUAAGAUGAAAUGUAUUCCUAUAACCCACUUCUGGAAAUUUUGACUCGAAAUUCUGAUCCUGUCCUAGAAUAUACCUGUGUAACCUGUUCCUCGGGUGAUACCGAAGAAAGAAGUUGUUUCAGACAACAGUUUCAAUCCCUUCUGAGUAGACAUUUUGAAUAUCCCAAACUAACAAAAGAGAAAACCUCUUAAUGAGUUAGAUUAGAAUGUUAAAACUUAAAUAGAACAAGAAUUUUCCUAGGACUAGGAAUAACUAAUGGAUAGACUUAAGUUCUGGAAACUCCAUUUACAAAAAAGAAGAGGUGGGAAAUUGAAACCUAAUUGAAAGUGAGGUGAGUGACGUCGAGGAAAAAGAAGUUUCCAGGAUUUAGGGGACAGUCAAUAUUGUCAAAUGCUUCAAAAAGAUCAAGUAGGCAGAGGAAUGAAAAUAAGCCUUCGAUCCAGCGAGUUUAUAGUUUUAAUAUUUAGGAGAAUAGUUUCAUAAGAAUGGGACUAUUCCAUGAAAAAGCUGAAGAGGCCCCCGAAGCAAUGAUUCCUCUGUGAUGAAAGCAAAGGUGUGGGUGAUGGAUUGCGUGUUGUUACUUAGAGAGGAACAGAAAUGGAAACUAAGGAGGACUCACAUUUGAGUGCUGGAAAGAGAACCUGAAAUUAGAAGCCAUAACAUUGGAUACACCAGGAAGUUGAGAGCUUCUGUUUCAAAGGGUCAGAAUGAUGUUUGUUUGAGAGAUGAAGUAAAUUUGGACUUCUGGGGGUAAGAAAACCAGGUUCAGCUUAUACUGAAAUAAGAACAGACAUGACUAGAGAGAAUAUAUAAACUUCUCUGAAGCUGAGUGGUAGGUGGUGGGGAAAUGAACAGUUUUAUAAACAGGAUGGAUCAUCAAAUUUUAACAGACGUAUUUUGAAUUCUGUCUGUUCUAUGUACCUGCAAUAACCUUCCAAGGUACAGUUGACGCCAUAAUAUCUCCUUUACUCCCAUUGGUGUUGAAUGCAUUGUCCCUCAGUACAAUUUGGAUCACAUAAUGGGAUUUUCAAUUGUCUGCACAUCAAUUUUCAAUUGUCUGCACAUCAGGUGUUUUCCCGCUGAGGUUAAUCUGUCCCCUCCCUCAGCUCCAUAGAAUUAGCUCCUACUAAUUAGUGACUUAGGUUUGAAUUGUCAUACUGAAAAUUAAUGUGCUUUUUGUAUUACCUGGAUUUAACUCCUUAAAAACAAAUUAACCAGAGUCUUCAUUUGGUCUGACAAACUAAGGAUCUUGAUCCCCUUUCACAUUCCUUCUUUUUUCCUAGGUUCUCUGUUUCCGGCACUACUUUUUUUGUGAUGGACACCCAUUGGGUGUCCUGCCCCUAACUGGAGAAUUCCUGUCUUUGAAAUCUUUGAUCCAUAAGGCCAGAGUGAUAGGCCUCCAGCUGCCAUGUUGUUCCAACUGACCCCCUUGGCUAACGUUGAAUUUUCCAAGAGCAUGUUCUUAACUAAAACAGGAUCAGUUUGUUUUCUGUUUUUAGGCUUUGUGGUCUUACAAGAGAGAAAGUCAAGUUGGUCCUUCCCAACGUGCCUGGAAGACCGACAUCUCAAUCUAUAGUCUUUUGCUCUAUGAGAUCAAAAAACUGGAAACGACAAUUUCUACUAAUGGGGAGAACAAUGGGGCCAAAAAGGUGGAAAAAGAAAUAAGAGUUGUUGAAUCAGCCAUGUCACAGUCCCAAAGAUUUCAUUCCAGUUUGUUCCUGAGAAAUUGCUGUGUUCUUGUUUUGGGUUCUAUAGGACAUACAUGUAGCCUUGUGAUAAAUUCCCAUUUGGCUUAAGCUGGCUCUAGUUAGUUUCUGUUAUUUCCUUCCACCCUAAUAUGCCAGCUGCUUCCUUAGCUGGGCCCAGGAUGUUUGUGUAUUAAGAUUAGCUAAUAUUUAACACUGCGGAUUCACUGCUAGCACAGAUACAUGGCUGAAUCCUGCAGCUCCGUAGUCUGGAUCUCUAGACGAGAGGGUGAGUUUCGGGGACACCUAGCUGAAAAUCCCUCCUUGUGCAUCCCUGUUUUAUCGGUUUCAUUCUGGAAAGAAAUCAAGAACUUGAACUCUUUUGCCGGGAUCUGCUGAUACCAGAAAACAUAACUGUGUCCUUUUAUCGGGACACAGUACAUUGUUGCUCUCUGUCCUUUUCCUUUGACCAGGUGUCCUGGAGUCUGGGUGACUUCUGCAUCGAGGGGGCCUGUGAAGCAAGCAGACUGAAGUUGGAGGCUUAGCCCCGGAGGGAGUCCGGUGACAGGAACCAAAGGCUGAGAGCUGCGGGGUGGGGGGCUGAGGAGUUCAGAGAAGGGGCUUACCUGCGCUCAGGGGACAAAGGACCACGGGCAGGUGAAUAUGAGACACAUGGCAGCAUCAGGACCACAGAGAGGCAGGUGGCUUUCUCUGAGGCUUUGCUUCCCCCACAUUACCAGCUACUCUGUGACGUGAUCACUUCACAGAACCCAAGCGUCUCGUGUGUGCUGCUCUGUACAAGUGAAGACACAAAGUGGGUCUUCACAAAGACACAAAGUGGAUGAAAGAACGGUACUCGGUCGCUGGAAAACAGGCAGCUCAGGACUGGGAUUUUUCUAAAGCAAGAAGGAAUAGGACGAUGUCUGCAGAUGGCGAGGGGGAGACACUGAGCAUGGCAAAUUUUCUGAGUUGACGAGACAGAGGUUGAAUGUUAGAGGCAACACAGCAAGUGGAACUCACGAGGAGGACGACCAGGGAGGUGGAAGAUACCCAAAGAACCCCGGAAAUGUUCAGAGGGAUCGUAAUGAAGUUUCGUCCUAACAGGAACCCGUGUCUGUGUGAGAUGAAACUUUAAGAAGCACCAGAGACGAACCCCAGAAAUGAGUCACCAGCAUCCCCAGAGUGGCCAUGCUUUUGCAGUAGGACAAAAUUUGUUUAGAGCAGGAGGUGGUAACUGACAGCCCAGGGCUGGCCACCUGUUCACGUACAGUUUUACUGGGGAUGAGAUGCGCUUCUGGAAUGGCAGCACGAGAUUUGAAUACCCUCUUCCCAGAGGAAAAAAAAAACCAAACAAACAUAACUUCUGAAAAGUUAGAAACAAUGAUUUAAAGGGCACCUGGGUGGCUCGGUUGGUUAAGUGUCUGACUCUCGAUUGCGGCUCAGGCCAUGAUCUCACAGUUCGUGAGUUGGAGCUCUGCCUCAGGCUCUGUGCUGACAGCGCGGAGCCUGCUUGGGAUUCUCUCUCUCUCUCCUUUCCUCUCUGUUCCUCCCCCAGUUGUGGUCUCUCUGUCAAAAAUAAAUAAAGUUUAAAAAACCACAACCAUUUAAAGCCUCUGAACAUUGUCCCAAGAGCAUACGGCGAAUGAAGAAACACUUCUUGGAGAAAAUUGAAAUCUCAGUGGGGCCAGUGAGACUGGAUGGCAUUUGAGCCUCUCUGCUUCCUGCAUCAACCUAAGCUCAGGGUGAUGGACGCUGUAUGCUCUGCAGAUGUGGUCGAGGAGGACACAGGGCUCCCGCAGUUUUUCCUGAGGAGGCACGGGCUGCCAGCAAUUCUCAUCCCCACCAGGUCCGUGAUGCAGAAACUCUUUUCCAUAGCAACUGCAGCUCAGGGGUCUGGGCUCCCUUUCUCCACCCAGUGCCCACUAGUGGGGUAGACCCUCUAUUCCAGAAACAGCAGGCCAAGACUGCUAGGCCCCAAUCUUCCUCAUUCUGGCCUGCUCAUAGCGUGGAGGUUCCACAGUGGGAGAUGCGAGUCAAAAAGACCAGGGCUUACCACCCCACCCAGCGACCCCUCAGAGCGCAACGGUGUCCUUCCAGAAGAAGUGGGCCAGUGUCCCUAGCCCCAGCUCUGGAGGCUUGAUGCAGAGUUUCCGUCCAUGGGGGGAGGGAAGUCACAGAGCUGCAUAGCUCUGCUUUGACCUAAGGACCCUCCAGCCUGGCUGAGAUUUGCUUGGAAUUGUGCUGUAGCCCAAGACCUACUUUACUUCCUGCCUCCUCCCUCCCUUUUUCUUCCUCUUUUCCUUCUUCCUUCCCUCUCUCCUUACAGGGGUCGGAUCCACACCGCGACCUGAUGGCCUCCCAGCCUCCUCCAUCUUUUGUCCCAUUUUCUCCGCUACGUCUCCUGCAUGACUGACCCACCUUGGCAUCUACUUCUUGGAGGACCUGAAAUAAUGCUUCUUUCUUAGCGUGCCCUCGCACUUUGGGCGACCAUACCUGCUAGAGAACAAGGGGAUUCUCUGCUGCUCUGCUUCGCUACAGCAAAUCCCACCCCCUUCCACCUCCUCCUCCCCCGGCUGGGUAUGAGGAUCAGAUGGUCACCAGGAGCAGGACUUCAUCUUCAGUCUCGAGGCCUCAGCUGUUAUCUGAGCCUGGAAUGGGCUCAAGAUGCAUCAAUUUCUUAAGCCUCAUCAUGGAGCCACAAAUGAAGAAAGAGAUCUGACCCCAACAUCUCAUUUUACAGAAGAAAGUUUUGAAAUGUAGGUAGAAGCAUAGAGAUACACUUGUGAGGAACAGAGUACAGACGGUGGUGAGCAAAAGAGAGAGGAAAAGCAGAACACUGUAGUGACGGUGGGUGGCCCGGAUGACAGUGGUUAGAUUCUCUGAAUCUCAUUUAGUUAUCAAAUCAGGUACUGGGUGGUACCUCUUGGCCUCUUGAUUACAGAGUUGGAAGCAUAUGGCAUUGUUGAUGACUCUAUGAGGAGAUGUAAUAAAUCACUGCUUGGUAGGAA